This 54-nucleotide transfer RNA is filed under the name Spiribacter salinus. Its description in RNAcentral is "tRNA-Ser". It matches the Rfam family "tRNA", at positions 21 to 71 of the family's 71-position model. From Rfam's summary of the family: Transfer RNA (tRNA) molecules are approximately 80 nucleotides in length. Their secondary structure includes four short double-helical elements and three loops (D, anti-codon, and T loops). The record is from RNAcentral. Lineage: Bacteria; Pseudomonadati; Pseudomonadota; Gammaproteobacteria; Chromatiales; Ectothiorhodospiraceae.
GGACACCACCCUUUCAAGGUGGCGACACGGGUUCGAAUCCCGUUGGGGACGCCA